ACUCCUACGGGAGGCAGCAGUGGGGAAUAUUGCACAAUGGGGGAAACCCUGAUGCAGCCAUGCCGCGUGUGUGAAGAAGGCCUUCGGGUUGUAAAGCACUUUCAGUAGGGAGGAAGGUAGUGUAGUUAACACCUGCAUUAUUUGACGUUACCUACGAAGAAGAGACCGGCUAACUCCGUGCCAGCAGCCGCGGUAAUACGGAGGGUGCGAGCGUUAAUCGGAAUUACUGGGCGUAAAGCGCAUGCAGGCGGCCUGUUAAGUCAGAUGUGAAAGCCCGGGGCUUAACCUCGGAAUUGCAUUUGAAACUGGCAGGCUAGAGUCUUGUAGAGGGGGGUAGAAUUUCAGGGUGUAGCGGUGAAAUGCGUAGAGAUCUGAAGGAAUACCAGUGGCGAAGGCGGCCCCCUGGACAAAGACUGACGCUCAGAUGCGAAAGCGUGGGGAGCAAACAGGAUUAGAUACCCUGGUAGCGUCGUCU
Molecule: ribosomal RNA, 475 nt
Filed under: uncultured bacterium
Lineage: Bacteria
Description: bacterial SSU rRNA
Rfam family: Bacterial small subunit ribosomal RNA
Source: RNAcentral